This 330-nucleotide ribosomal RNA is filed under the name uncultured eukaryote. Its description in RNAcentral is "partial 18S ribosomal RNA". It matches the Rfam family "Eukaryotic small subunit ribosomal RNA", at positions 1470 to 1796 of the family's 1831-position model. The record is from RNAcentral.
CCCUUAGAUGUUCUGGGCCGCACGCGCGCUAUACUGAUGCAUUCAACGAGUCUAAAACCUGGUCUGAUAGGGCUGGGUAAUCUUUUGAAUGUGCAUCGUGAUUGGGAUAGAUGAUUGCAAUUCUUCAUCUUCAACGAGGAAUGCCUAGUAAACGCAAGUCAUCAGCUUGCAUUGAUUACGUCCCUGCCCUUUGUACACACCGCCCGUCGCUCCUACCGAUUGAAUGUUCCGAUGAAUACCAUGGACUGAGAGUAUGAAUGGGUUCGCCUAUUUCUGCUUCUCGGGAAGUGGAGUAAAUCUUAACAUUUAGAGGAAGGAGAAGUCGUAACA